GACGAACGCUGGCGGCGUGCCUAAUACAUGCAAGUCGAGCGAGCGGAACCAACAGAUUUACUUCGGUAAUGACGUUGGGAAAGCGAGCGGCGGAUGGGUGAGUAACACGUGGGGAACCUGCCCCUAAGUCUGGGAUACCAUUUGGAAACAGGUGCUAAUACCGGAUAAUAAAGCAGAUCGCAUGAUCAGCUUUUGAAAGGCGGCGUAAGCUGUCGCUAAAGGGAUGGCCCCCGCGGUGCAUUAGCUAGUUGGUAAGGUAACGGCUUACCAAGGCGACGAUGCAUAGCCGAGUUGAGAGACUGAUCGGCCACAUUGGGACUGAGACACGGCCCAAAACUCCUACGGGAGGCAGCAGUAGGGAAUCUUCCACAAUGGACGCAAGUCUGAUGGAGCAACGCCGCGUGAGUGAAGAAGGUUUUCGGAUCGUAAAGCUCUGUUGUUGGUGAAGAAGGAUAGAGGUAGUAACUGGCCUUUAUUUGACGGUAAU
Molecule: ribosomal RNA, 487 nt
Filed under: uncultured bacterium
Lineage: Bacteria
Description: bacterial SSU rRNA
Rfam family: Bacterial small subunit ribosomal RNA
Source: RNAcentral